CCUACGGGUGGCUGCAGUGGGGAAUAUUGGACAAUGGGCGAAAGCCUGAUCCAGCCAUGCCGCGUGUGUGAAGAAGGCCUUCGGGUUGUAAAGCACUUUCAGUGGGGAAGAAAGCCUUGGGGCUAAUACCCUCGAGGAAGGACAUCACCCACAGAAGAAGCACCGGCUAACUCCGUGCCAGCAGCCGCGGUAAUACGGAGGGUGCGAGCGUUAAUCGGAAUUACUGGGCGUAAAGCGCGCGUAGGCGGUCUGAUAAGCCGGUUGUGAAAGCCCCGGGCUCAACCUGGGAACGGCAUCCGGAACUGUCAGGCUAGAGUGCAGGAGAGGAAGGUAGAAUUCCAGGUGUAGCGGUGAAAUGCGUAGAGAUCGGGAGGAAUACCAGUGGCGAAGGCGGCCUCCUGGACUGACACUGACGCUGAGGUGCGAAAGCGUGGGUAGCAAACAGGAUUAGAUACCCGAGUAGUC
This 465-nucleotide ribosomal RNA is filed under the name Vreelandella stevensii. Its description in RNAcentral is "partial 16S ribosomal RNA". It matches the Rfam family "Bacterial small subunit ribosomal RNA", at positions 338 to 795 of the family's 1533-position model. Lineage: Bacteria; Pseudomonadati; Pseudomonadota; Gammaproteobacteria; Oceanospirillales; Halomonadaceae. The record is from RNAcentral.